AUGUGCUUUGUCAUGUCCAUGCAUUUGUCAGACACAAAAGAGGCAUUUGGAGGAUACCUCAGGCCUGCUGAGAGGAUGGACAUCGUCCUCACAGCCCUUGAACUGAUGGCUGACUCCAGCAUCUAUGCCAGGGAGUCAGCCUGCAGUGCGAUGGCCGUGGCCAUGGAAGACUACCCCUUCUGGAUACCAGAUAAAACCUCCAUCCACAAGAACUUGAGGAGCAUCGCCGCAAAGGCAGUGCAGCACUGCCUGAACUCCGUGCUCCUCCGUCUGACCAGCCAGAUGGCCACGGAAGUAGUCAGGAACCUGCUGAAGUCCUCUGCACCUAGCGACAGCAACACCCUAGACAUGUGGGAGGUGAUGCUCUGCAUGCCACGGACUUUGGAGAAGGUUUCGAAGAAGGUGACCAAGGGUUCACAGCUGAGCAGGCUGGUAGGAGUCACAGAAGACACGUGCAUCCUCUUCUUGGUGCUAAUGGCAAAGAGCAAAGAUAGUGAAGACUCUUGGUGA
RNAcentral lists this long non-coding RNA (510 nucleotides) under Phasianus colchicus (ring-necked pheasant). RNAcentral's name for it is "lncRNA (ENSPCLG00000014140.1)". Lineage: Eukaryota; Metazoa; Chordata; Aves; Galliformes; Phasianidae. The record is from RNAcentral.